UUACGUUAAAAAAUUCUGCUUCAAAAGACGUACACUGGCGAUUGCCGCGUUAAAGCGCGGCCCUAGUCUGCGUGCGUACGUGUCGGAGCCCGGCUGCCUGUACCGCGGGAUGGCGGGCCUCGUGUCGGUGCUCCCUUUGUUUGAGCAAGGUUGUCUGGCCUUAGCCUUACCUGAGCUAUUCGUAGGCAAACUUUUGACGUCCUGCUGAAGAAAUAAUUCACUUCUGGGAGCUAGUGAUUUCCAACAAAGCAUCAUAAUGAAAUCCUACGUUGCCGUAAAGCCGUAUUUCAAAGGCUAGGUCAAACUUAAAGGGACAGUCGCAUUCUCCGAGGUCAAUUUCGAAACUAAUGCGAAUUCUAAUUCCUUGCCGACCACUGAAAUGGGCCCGAAAAUACCAUUUCGAUCCGCGGCGUACUUUUCGCGCAAUCCGAUGAAAAGGAAACUGGAAUCCUUGCACCCUCGCUCUCUAAAAGUGGGAGCAAACGUCACCCGGAUAAGGCCAAUCAGCGCGCGCCCAGGGUAAAUGCGAGCCGCGCGCCUGUUUGCCGAUCGCGAAGCGAAGGCGAAGGUAGCAAACAUGGAGUCUGAAAACGAGAGUGAUGUUUCUCUGUCUGGGGGAGAUUCUGACGAACAUGUAAGCGGUAGCGGCGACGAGUUAAUGCUGGAUGAUGACCCAUACUCUACGGACCCAAUGCCUCUGGAACCCGCCGACCAUGCACGAGAUGUGGCUGCGGCUAACCCGCGGGAUGGCAUUUUCAGGUGUGUGUGUGUGUGGAGUCUGCGACCCACAGGAGCCCGACGAGCGCCUGUGUUGCCAUUCUGUUGCCAGGGUGGUAGAAAUGUGCAACAGUGCCGUCGUGCAGUGCAUAACACAACACCCAUUACUCAGGGACAUCUGCCUCCGUAGGGAGCUUCUAGUGGUGUACGCGCCUCAAUUCUGCCGCUAUGAUCAACAUUUUAGGCGACUCAAUCCCCAGGACCACAGGAGACCCCGGAACUAAGAAAGGAAUU
This is a long non-coding RNA of Ornithodoros turicata, 1011 nucleotides long. RefSeq lists it as uncharacterized. The transcript is spliced from 3 exons. NCBI's taxonomy places the organism in Eukaryota, Metazoa, Arthropoda, Arachnida, Ixodida, Argasidae. The record is from RefSeq and is a predicted model, not a curated record.